AUCUGGCUGACGAAUCCUAAAUGGGACGAAACGCGUGUUUCGAGAU
Non-coding RNA from Schistosoma haematobium, 46 nucleotides. Lineage: Eukaryota; Metazoa; Platyhelminthes; Trematoda; Strigeidida; Schistosomatidae. The record is from Rfam.